AUUGAACGCUGGCGGCAUGCUUUACACAUGCAAGUCGAACGGCAGCGCGGGCUUCGGCCUGGCGGCGAGUGGCGAACGGGUGAGUAAUACAUCGUAACGUGCCCAGUAGUGGGGGAUAGCUCGGCGAAAGCCGGAUUAAUACCGCAUACGACCUGAGGGUGAAAGCGGGGGAUCUUCGGACCUUGCGCUAUUGGAGCGGCCGAUGGCAGAUUAGCUAGUUGGUGGGGUAAAGGCCUACCAAGGCGACGAUCUGUAGCUGGUCUGAGAGGACGACCAGCCACACUGGGACUGAGACACGGCCCAGACUCCUACGGGAGGCAGCAGUGGGGAAUGUUGGAAAAUGGGCGAAAGACUGAUCCAGAAAUGCAGCGUGUGUGAUGAAGGCCUUCGGGUUGUAAAGCACUUUUGGCGGGAACGAAAAGGACUGUGCCAAUACCACGGUUCGAUGACGGUACCCGCAGAAUAAGCACCGGCUAACUACGUG
RNAcentral lists this ribosomal RNA (484 nucleotides) under uncultured bacterium. RNAcentral's name for it is "partial 16S ribosomal RNA". It matches the Rfam family "Bacterial small subunit ribosomal RNA", at positions 29 to 507 of the family's 1533-position model. The record is from RNAcentral.